This 633-nucleotide ribosomal RNA is filed under the name uncultured Actinomycetes bacterium. RNAcentral's name for it is "bacterial SSU rRNA". It matches the Rfam family "Bacterial small subunit ribosomal RNA", at positions 828 to 1464 of the family's 1533-position model. The record is from RNAcentral. Lineage: Bacteria; Bacillati; Actinomycetota; Actinomycetes.
CAUUCCACGCGGUCCGUGACGAAGUUAACACAUUAAGCACCCCGCCUGGGGAGUACGGUCGCAAGACUAAAACUCAAAGGAAUUGACGGGGGCCCGCACAAGCGGCGGAGCAUGCGGAUUAAUUCGAUGCAACGCGAAGAACCUUACCAAGGCUUGACAUAUAGAGGAAACGUGCAGAAAUGUACGCCCCGCAAGGUCUCUAUACAGGUGGUGCAUGGUUGUCGUCAGCUCGUGUCGUGAGAUGUUGGGUUAAGUCCCGCAACGAGCGCAACCCUCGUCCUAUGUUGCCAGCACGUAAUGGUGGGAACUCAUGGGAGACUGCCGGGGUCAACUCGGAGGAAGGUGGGGAUGACGUCAAAUCAUCAUGCCCCUUAUGUCUUGGGCUUCACGCAUGCUACAAUGGCCAGUACAAAGGGCUGCAAUACCGUAAGGUGGAGCGAAUCCCAAAAAGCUGGUCUCAGUUCGGAUUGAGGUCUGCAACUCGACCUCAUGAAGUCGGAGUCGCUAGUAAUCGCAGAUCAGCAACGCUGCGGUGAUACGUUCCCGGGCCUUGUACACACCGCCCGUCAAGUCACGAAAGUCGGUAACACCCGAAGCCGGUGCCUAACCGUAAGGAAGGAGCCGUCGAAGGUG